GCCUCCGCCGUUACUGUUUGAUGUAGCCAUCUCCACGCGAUCUUUUUUUCCUUUUAUAUGUAUAUAUGUACCAAGUUUAGCUAAUUAAAUAAUUCUUUCACGUUUUCUUUUGUGUUGUGGUGGUGGUUGAGGAUCACCCGUCUUCGACGUGUUUCCGGUGGCAAUUACGGCCGCCGACGCACCGCUGGGCACGUAAACACAGCUCAGGCAAUCUCAACGAAGGUCCUCUCAUCUCUCUGCAUUCCCUGAAGGGGCUUUUAGUGUUUGCUUAUUUAUUUUUUCUUGGGGGGAGACGAUAAGGAUUUUGAUUUGCUGCUAUUAAUCAAACGCUUAUAGAUGGUGAUGGUGUUUACCGGGAGUUGUUUUGCUCGCUCUUCUUUUUUUUUUUUUCUUCCUCGAAAAGGUUUGCGCCUUUAUAGAACGAUUUGAGGUCUAAUUUGGCAAUUUCUCGCUUUUCCAGAUUUGAUCAGACGGUUGUUUGAUGGCCGCGUGUUGCAAUCAUGACGGGUGAGUUAUGAUUCUCUGGAUUAUUGACGUAAUGGUAGCGUGACACGUGAAUAGGUUUGUUGCUGGUUACUGUUUGGAACCGAUUGCUGCGAUAAGCAGGUGUUGUGUUCUGUAAGCGUAUUGGUAGGCUAAGCGCCAUUAUUUCUAACUACAGACGUCAGCAUUGGCAAAGGGAAAUGACAAAAAAACCUGACUCUCGGACGCUCGUAGAACGUGAAAAGUUCUCAUUCGUGUGGGAGAGAUUGGAGAAUGUCAUUUUGAUUAUUGCUGUAAUCAUAGAGUUUUAUGCCUGGAAGUGGAGUGAUUACUGAUUAGCAAUGAAAUAAUGACGUGGGCCACAGGCAGGGUGUGAAAUUUUCUUUUCAUUCUUCUGAUAAGUCAUUAAAGUACACAUUGAUUGAUAGGCAAAAUAAAGCAUAACUCGGGGGCGAGAUAAGUGAAAGCAAAAAUGGAGAGAUAAUUAAAGUUUCAAAAUUGGACGUUUAAGGGUAAGGC
RNAcentral lists this long non-coding RNA (1002 nucleotides) under Citrus maxima (pomelo). RNAcentral describes it as "long non-coding RNA (CMAX_LNC002023)". Lineage: Eukaryota; Viridiplantae; Streptophyta; Magnoliopsida; Sapindales; Rutaceae. The record is from RNAcentral.